This 301-nucleotide ribosomal RNA is filed under the name Astomella sp. SLW-2002. Its description in RNAcentral is "eukaryotic LSU rRNA". It matches the Rfam family "Eukaryotic large subunit ribosomal RNA", at positions 1117 to 1389 of the family's 3401-position model. The record is from RNAcentral. Lineage: Eukaryota; Metazoa; Arthropoda; Insecta; Diptera; Acroceridae.
UGUGCUCCGGUGGACGGCUUUUGGUAAGCAGAACUGGCGCUGUGGGAUGAACCAAACGUAAUGUUAAGGCGCCUAAAGUAACAAGUCAUACUGAUACCAUGAAAGGCGUUACGUGCUUAAAACAGCAGGACGGUGGCCAUGGAAGCUGGAAUCCGCUAAGGAGUGUGUAACAACUCACCUGCCGAAGCAACUAGCCCUUAAAAUGGAUGGCGCUCAAGUUGUAUGCCUAUACAUUACCGCUAAAAUAUAUGAUUUAUAAUUUAUUAAUUAUAAAUUUUGAAAUUUUAGUGUAUAGGAGGGU